This 497-nucleotide ribosomal RNA is filed under the name uncultured bacterium. Its description in RNAcentral is "partial 16S ribosomal RNA". It matches the Rfam family "Bacterial small subunit ribosomal RNA", at positions 28 to 507 of the family's 1533-position model. The record is from RNAcentral.
GAUGAACGCUGGCGGCGUGCCUAAUACAUGCAAGUCGAGCGAACAGACGAGGAGCUUUCUCCUCUGACGUUAGCGGCGGACGGGUGAGUAACACGUGGAUAACCUACCUAUAAGACUGGGAUAACUUCGGGAAACCGGAGCUACUACCGGAUAAUAUAUUGAACCGCAUGCUUCAAUAGUGAAAGACGGUUUUGCUGUCACUUAUAGAUGGAUCCGCGCCGCAUUAGCUAGUUGGUAAGGUAACGGCUUACCAAGGCAACGAUGCGUAGCCGACCUGAGAGGGGGAUCGGCCACACUGGAACUGAGACACGGUCCAGACUCCUACGGGAGGCAGCAGUAGGGAAUCUUCCGGAAUGGGCGGAAGCCUGACGGAGCAACGCCGCGUGAGUGAGGAAGGUCUUCGGAUCGUAAAACUCUGUUAUUAGGGAAGAACAAAUGUGUAAGUAACUAUGCACGGCUUGACGGUACCUAAUCAGAAAGCCACGGCUAACUACGUG